GUCAGCAGCCGCGGUAACACCGGCGGCCCGAGUGGUGAUCGUGAUUAUUGGGUCUAAAGGGUCCGUAGCCGGUUUGGUCAGUCCUCCGGGAAAUCUGAUAGCUCAACUAUUAGGCUUUCGGGGGAUACUGCCAGACUUGGAACCGGGAGAGGUAAGAGGUACUACAGGGGUAGGAGUGAAAUCUUGUAAUCCCUGUGGGACCACCUGUGGCGAAGGCGUCUUACCAGAACGGGUUCGACGGUGAGGGACGAAAGCUGGGGGCACGAACCGGAUUAGAUACCCGGGUAGUCCCAGCCGUAAACGAUGCUCGCUAGGUGUCAGGCAUGGCGCGACCGUGUCUGGUGCCGCAGGGAAGCCGUGAAGCGAGCCACCUGGGAAGUACGGCCGCAAGGCUGAAACUUAAAGGAAUUGGCGGGGGAGCACAACAACGGGUGGAAGCCUGCGGUUUAAUUGGACUCAACGCCGAACAACUCACCGGGGGCGACAGCAAUAUGUAGGCCAAGCUGAAGACUUUGCCUGAAUCGCUGAGAAGAGGUGCAUGG
RNAcentral lists this ribosomal RNA (542 nucleotides) under uncultured archaeon. RNAcentral's name for it is "bacterial SSU rRNA". It matches the Rfam family "Archaeal small subunit ribosomal RNA", at positions 457 to 997 of the family's 1478-position model. The record is from RNAcentral.